UAGGGAGACCUAAUCCAUUUAGAAAUCGAAAGCAAUCAGUAAAUAGAUUCUCAACUGGUCUACUCUAGGUCGGUCGCAAACUUGAAGAACGUCUUUCAAACUAUGAUUGGGUUCAUUUAAGGAUAAUGUGCACCUGAAACUACGAAAAUAGUACAGACUGCUGGGUAAAUACCAGCCAGAACCUUGAAAACUGCAUAGUAACGCGAGGCAGUCAGUAGAAAAAACUGACGUUAAAAAAAGCCAAUGUAAAGU
This 252-nucleotide unclassified non-coding RNA is filed under the name Anabaena sp. 8E2. RNAcentral describes it as "partial 16S-23S ribosomal RNA intergenic spacer". The record is from RNAcentral. Lineage: Bacteria; Bacillati; Cyanobacteriota; Cyanophyceae; Nostocales; Nostocaceae.